AAUAUACUGAAGUUGGCGGAGCUAUUCUGUAAUAGGAACAGAAGCAUUGGGGAUCUGGUGCUCCUCCCACCGUUGGAAGGAAGAGAACAGCCCCAUAAGCUGUCCUUGGGAUCAGCAGUUGUCAGGAGCAGAAGGAGGAGGCAGAAAAGACUUUUCUCCUGCAGGGAAGAGGGCUCCUCACCGUCAGCUCUGCACUCGCAGGCUGUGCCUUCCCUGUUGAAAGUCCUUCAAUUGCAAGUGAAAUCAAUUUUCCUGAAAGCCUCCCCUGAGCCUCCUCUGCAGGUACCAACUAUCAUACCAGUGUUUCAUGAUUGCAGGCCAUUGAAUAAUUGGCACAACUCAUCUCUCUGCCUCCUCCUCUUUUCUGGUUCCUUCACUCCUAUGGAAAACAUGCUGUCUCACUCUGCGCCACUUCCAGGCACCCAUCCGAGUUUGACUACACUCUCCUUGGACAAAAGGCAGAUGGCUGGGAGCAGAAAGGAAAUAUUUUGCUCUGCUCAAACAAAUAAAUAAAGGCAGA
Molecule: long non-coding RNA, 520 nt
Filed under: Canis lupus familiaris (dog)
Lineage: Eukaryota; Metazoa; Chordata; Mammalia; Carnivora; Canidae
Description: lncRNA (ENSCAFG00000044685.2)
Source: RNAcentral